This 348-nucleotide ribosomal RNA is filed under the name Triticum aestivum (bread wheat). RNAcentral's name for it is "partial small subunit ribosomal RNA". Lineage: Eukaryota; Viridiplantae; Streptophyta; Magnoliopsida; Poales; Poaceae. The record is from RNAcentral.
AUGUUUGCAAUUGAACUUUAUUAUGUUUAUACUACAAGGCAAGUAUUAAUAAUAUUGCCUCGGAUUUGUGACUUUGCAAGUUGCCAAAUUUUGCUGUAUGUGACAUUAUUUUUCGUUUUGCUGGUUUGCUUAUGUAUAUUAUUCUUUUGUUGUUUUGUAAUCAAUCAUCUACUACAUCUAAACCCGGCUUUGUUUUCCUGCACAAAUAUUGCACACUGCCUUGAUCACUCCGUUCUUGUAAAACUAGACUCCACUGGAGUGUUCUACAUUAGAGAAAUAUUUAUGAUGUGGCCACAAAUCAGGCACAGUCAAUGUUAUUUAUUUUUGUUUACUAUGUCAUUUUUGUGA